Molecule: ribosomal RNA, 253 nt
Filed under: uncultured bacterium
Lineage: Bacteria
Description: partial 16S ribosomal RNA
Rfam family: Bacterial small subunit ribosomal RNA
Source: RNAcentral
UACGGGGGGGGCAAGCGUUGUUCGGAAUUACUGGGCGUAAAGGGCUCGUAGGCGGCCAACUAAGUCAGACGUGAAAUCCCUCGGCUUAACCGGGGAACUGCGUCUGAUACUGGAUGGCUUGAAUCCGGGAGAGGGAUGCGGAAUUCCAGGUGUAGCGGUGAAAUGCGUAGAUAUCUGGAGGAGCACCGGUGGCGAAGGCGGCAUCCUGGACCGGCAUUGACGCUGAGGCGCGAAAGCCAGGGGAGCAAACGGG